AUGGAAAAGAAGACAUCUGACAUUACCAGGAAGAGUAACGUUUGUAAAUAGUCAGGCAAUACCAAUAUUUACUUUUUUAGCAUCUGUUAUUCCAACCCUACAAAAGUAUGUUUUGAAAAUAGAUAACUUAGUGUUUCCGUUUAUCUGGAAUGGCAACACAGACAAAAUUUCAAGAAAAACAAAGGUUUGCAAUUUAAACAAAGGUGGUCUUAACUUGACUUCCAAUCUCAUAAUAUAGCACUUAAAUGUAACUGGAUAUUUAAAUUGUUAAACAAUAAGCUUGGGAAAUGGAAAAUCAUUUGCAAUUUAUUUUUAAACUCAUGUUGCCCAGACCUUUCAGUCCUCAAUAUGAAUUUUAAAAAAGCAAAGUGCUGUUCACAUAUUACAUUAAACCUUCCACAAUUUUAUAAAGAGUAUUCUGUUGGCAGGAACUGAACUCAACAAAGACUGUACAAAUCGAUUUACAGCCAACUAAUAUAAAAGCACAAAUAAUGUCUGUAACUCUUUGUGUUUUUGUUGAUUUAUUGCAGGAGGAAAGAAGAAACCUUUGAAGCAAGCCAAGAAAGAGCACAAGGAACUUGAUGAAGAUGACUUGGCCCUGAAGCAAAAGCAGAAGGAA
Molecule: long non-coding RNA, 619 nt
Organism: Patiria miniata (bat star)
Lineage: Eukaryota; Metazoa; Echinodermata; Asteroidea; Valvatida; Asterinidae
Exons: 2
Source: RefSeq, a predicted model, not a curated record